This is an RNA transcript of Myxocyprinus asiaticus (Chinese sucker), 7110 nucleotides long. It is a transcript of the gene named peroxisome proliferator-activated receptor alpha-like, with no coding region annotated. Lineage: Eukaryota; Metazoa; Chordata; Actinopteri; Cypriniformes; Catostomidae. The transcript is spliced from 10 exons. The record is from RefSeq and is a predicted model, not a curated record.
CAUGUUUUAUUUCUGCAUGCAUGGCGGUCUAGGAUUGAGAGGUAGACGCGCCGCUCUUGUAAACAAUGCGCUUGUGCAAUUUAUGAUCAUGUUUUAUCAGGUUUUAUGGCCGUAAUGACUGUAAUCGUACGCUUUCAACAUUCACAUAAGAACAUAUAUAAAUGUGCUACUUUCAGUUGAGCAGCUAGCUUCAUACUGCUUGCUUGUACGUAAUGCAUAAAACUCAUGUCCCGAUGUGAUAAAUCACAGACGCAUUGUAUUGAACAAUAUGAAACACUGCUGUAACUAUAGUGAUACUUUCUGUGUUUCAUUGAUAUGAAAAUCGGUUGGUCUUUUACGAUGGUCGUUCAUUCUUUGGUUAUUUUUCUUGUUUGGUUGUUAUUGUAGUGCACAAAGAUGAUUUCAUUCUAAGAGUCUUUGCUCUUCUGCCAUGUGAUAUAAUCAGCUGUCAGAUGUAAUGAAGCACAUGUAACCUGAAGAAGUUGUGCAGGUGUAAAAAAAAAAAAAAAAAAGUUGUGCAGGUGUUUCUAGGAGAGUUUUUCCUGUGCAUGCUGUGAUAACAUUUUUACAAUAAUAUGAGCUAAUAUUAGUUAAUGCAAUAGUUGACAUGAACAAAUAUUGAACCAUGCUUUUACAGCACUUAUUCAUCUUGGUUAAUGUUAAUUUCAGUAUUCUGAGUCUAAUCAUGUCAGUCAUGAACUCGGAUAUCAGUUAUGAUAAUUUAAUAGGGCUAUAAUUAUUAUUUUCUUUUUUACAGUUUCACUUAUUUAGAAUUUAAAUUCAAAUCCUAUUAUUUAGUAUUCCAUUCUGAACAAUGGAAUGGAUGGAAUUUCAUUGCAUUCCGAGUUCUAAAUUCCUUUGUUAAAAUGGAUCUUAUACUUUCCCUUCCAAAAUGUUUCCUUAAAGGUGCAAUCAGUCAUUUUUUCCUAAUUAAAAAAGGUUGAAAUAUUUGCAAUAUAUGUAGAACAUCAUGAGCACUCACAUUAAAAUGAAGAUUCCAGUCAUACCAGUAACCUUAUAAAGCUGUUUUAUUCUACAUGGAGAGGGUCCACACAUGGGGGCUGUCAUGUUAGAAUCACAUGACCAGCCGAACACUACUCGCUUAAUCUCAGUAACCGUCCUGUUAUUUGACUCUUCCACUGUAAUUGAUUAAAGUAAUCUGAAUCUGGAAACUAUUGAUUUUAAAUGAUGCUGCAUACAAGCUGAUUGGUGUCAGUGGAAAUCCAACAUGACACAAAGACAAAAGUUACUGAGUGCACCUUUAAAGUUCAUUUAAAAUGAUAUCCUGAAUAUUUAAUAUUUGUAUUUAAUUGUUCCAGUACAUUGUCCUGCUCUGGAUGUGAGAGAGCGCCAGGGCCGGAGUGGCUAAUCGGGAAGAUCGGGAGAAUUCCCGCUGGGCCGGUCAAAAAUAGGGCCGGUUAGGUCCGCAUGUUGAUUGACAAACCUUCAUGUGUUGCAUAACAAUUGCCAGCAGUCAGUAACGUCCUGUAUUUAAGGGAUCAGAAUUGCGUUUCGUAUAAUAGCGGACGCAGUCUGUAUUUUAUGAUUUCACACACAAACAAAUGAGAGAGUAUCCUGUGAGAGACGAAACUGAUGUGCUUCACUUGACAGCACGGGAAGGAUCACGGAAGAUCCAUCGAGAACAGAUAGGCUACUAAUAGCUGAAUGGAUGAACGUGCUUCAGAAAAGUUAUUUGAAUUUAAGCAUUUCUUCUGAAACCUCCAUAGCUUUUAAGGUUUCCAUUUAAUGGUUCAACACCAGAAAAAGUCCUCAACGGAGAGAAGCAGGCAUGCAGGGCGUGUGUGGAUUUGGACUUUGGCCCUGGAUGGGGUGCAUGUAUUUAAUGGCAGCUGGCAGAGCAGAACUGUGAAUCGUGAUCUGGAAGACGGCUGUGUGUUGAGUGAAGAAUCACCUCAGCUCAGGUUUCAGAUAGCCUCAACAGCUGGAGACAAACAGAUGUGAACAGCUGGAUAAGAUUUGUGGCAUUCUGCUUCGAGCGAAUCUACUGCAUGGAGAGAUCAGACUGAUGAUUGAUCCACAGCUUGCCGUGGUCCAGCGCCAUGGUAGACAUGCCGAGUCUGUACAGUCCCUCGUCCCUGCUGGGUGAUCCAAUGCUGGACAGGUCUCUGUGUGGAGAGCUAAUUGGUGACAUGGAGGAGCUGGAGGACAUCUCUCAGUCUCUAGGUGAUGAUACCUUUAGCUCUCUACACAUACUGGACUACCAGAGGUGCAACACAGCAUUAGACAGCUCCACUGGCCUAGAUGUCUUAACACCAGCUUCUAGUCCAUCCUCAGGAGUAUUUGCAGCCAGCACUGGUCAGGAUGAGAACUCCUCUAGUUCACUUACCCUGGAGUGCCGCGUCUGUUCCGACCGUGCCUCAGGUUUCCACUAUGGAGUGCAUGUCUGCGAAGGCUGCAAGGGGUUCUUCAGGAGAACCAUUCAACUAAAAUUGGAUUAUGACAAGUGUGAACGCAACUGUAAGAUCCAGAAGAAGAACCGAAACAAGUGUCAGUACUGCCGUUUCCACAAGUGCCUUGCGGUGGGCAUGUCCCACAAUGCCAUUCGAUUUGGGCGAAUGCCUCUGUCUGAAAAGCAAAGGCUGAGAGCAGAGCAGGAGAUCGGGGAGAAAGAAGAGCACGAGUCCCAGCAGCCCGACACCAAGAGUCUGGCCAGGCUGAUCCAUGAAGCCUACCUCAAACAUUUACACAUGAACAAAGCCAAAGCACGUGUCUUUCUCACUGGCAAGACUUGCACUCCGCCCUUUGUCAUCCAUGACCUGGACACUCUCCAGCACGCUGAGCAUACACUGGUUACCCAACUGCUUGGUAACAUGGAAACCAUCGAUGCCUCUUCUCUACAGGAGAGAGAAGUCGAAGCCCGGCUCUUUCUUUGCUGUCAAUACGCUUCAGUGGAGACGGUCACAGAACUGACAGAGUUUGCCAAAGCUGUACCUGGCUUUGCUGCCCUAGACCUUAAUGACCAGGUGACUCUGCUGAAGUAUGGAGUGUAUGAGGCACUGUUUGCGCUGUUGGCCUCCUGCAUGAAUAAAGAUGGACUGCUGGUGGCUCGCGGUGCUGGCUUCAUCACUCGCGAGUUUUUGAAAAGCCUGCGCAAGCCCUUCAGUGACAUGAUGGAGCCAAAAUUUCAGUUUGCCAUGAGGUUCAAUGCUCUAGAGCUCAAUGACAGCGACCUGGCACUUUUUGUGGCGGCCAUUAUCUGCUGUGGAGGUGAGACACAGGAAGAGAAAUGAGAAUUUAUGUAGUUUAGAGAAUAAGAGGCAAUGUCAUAACGAAACACUUCUAACCUAAUACUAGUGAAGAGAUAGUUCACCCAAAGUAAAAAUUCUGUCAUUAUUUACUCAGCUUCAUGUUGUUUCAGACCCAUUUGACUUUCUUUAUUACAUGGAAUAAAACAGAAGUUUAAAGAAAAUGUCAGCAGUGCCAGCAGUGAUGGGUUAUGGUCCUGGAGGCCCCUCUCCCUCCACUGCUUCAACAUAUGCACCAUGCAUGGAACAGAAUUGAAUAGAAUUUAGAAAUUCCAUGAAUGCUGCAUUUUUGUGUUGCUGGUGUUCUUGUAUUAUGUGACACUUCAAAAUGUAAAAAACAAAAAAAUCUAAAUUUCCAUAAUGUUUCGUAAAAAAAAAAGUGCCUUUGACACCUUUUCUUUUUUUGCUUUCCUUCUGGAUGCACCACUAAUCCAGUGUUUGUGAUCCAUUUAUUAUAUUUAAUAUAUACUGUAUUUUACUCUGUGCAAGGGAAAGCUGAUAACUAAAAUUAAAACUUUUAGCAAAUGGCCACUACUCAUUUCUGUCAUGCACAACUUUUUAGGGGACUUUUAUUUAAAUUAAUCAUUAAAAAAAAAAAAAAUCACAAAGCUGCAGGGUCAUCAUACAAGACCAUAACACACAUAUUCUAGCAUAUUUGCACUUGGCUUCCUUACAUGCAUGUAAAUGUGCAAGUGUCGUAAAUGUAAGAAUGCAGAUAUGCUAAAAUACAUAAUUGUUUGUCAUAUAUGAUAGUAUUAUUUUAAAUGUAUUUAUUUAUUUUGUCAAUUUUAUUAGGGCUUCUGAUUCAGAGCCCAGGGAGAGAUAACAUGGCUGUCACACAUUCAAGCACUGUCUAUCUAUUUCUGUCAAUUUUGCAUUUGCAGUGCCUUGUUUCUCAGUGUCGCACCACUGCAGGCCUCUCAGCCUGAGGCCCCCUAAGGCCCCAGGUAGUCAGAGGCCCCAGGGCACUUGCCCUAUUGGCCCAGUUCAUAAUCCAUUCUUGUGUCCCAAGUGCUCUUUUCCAGGCAGUGACAGUAAAUGCUGAAAACAAAAAUGACAAACAAGCACCAUAAAGUAUAGUUCAAAUGACUCAUGCGCUAUAAUUUAAGUAUUUUCCAGAUAUACGAUUGAUUUUUGUAAGGAUCAGACUGAAAUUUUAUUUAUUAUUCAACAAAAAUCUCUGCAGUUGUUCCUAAAUCUCUUUUGAGAUGUUCAAAACUCUCAAACUGCAGGGUCCCCACAGUCAUGGAAAACCUGAAAUAUUAGGGAACUUUCAAAUAGAUUUUUCUAGGCCUGGAAAAGUCAUGGAAAUCAAUACAAUUUCAAAAGUCAUGGAAAAGGGGCCUGGGUAGCUCAGUGAGUAUUGACGCUGACUACCACCCCAUGAGUCGCGAGUUCGAAUCCAGGGUGUGCUGAGUGACUCCAGCCAGGUCUCCUAAGCAACCAAAUUGGCCUGGUUGCUAGGGAGGGUAGAGUCACAUGGGGUAACCUCCUCGUGGUUAUGAUUAGGGGUUCUCGCUCUCAAUGGGGCACGUGGUAAGUUGUGUGUGGAUCGCGGAGAGUAGCAUGAGCCUCCACAUGCUGUGAGUCUCCGCAGUGUCAUGCACAGCGAGCCACGUGAUAAGAUGUGCGGAUUGACUGUCUCAGAAGUGGAGGCAACUGAGACUUGUCCUCCGCCACCCGGAUUGAGGUGAGUUACCGUGCCACCACGAGGACCUACUAAGUAGUGGGAAUUGGCCAUUCCAAAUUGGGGAGAAAAAGGAGAUACACACAAAAAAAAAAAAAAAAAAAAAGGCAUGGAAAAUGCAUGAAUAUUUCUAUAGUGAAUAUAUAAUUUGCUAGUUUUUCUAUGCUCUAAAAUAUUUGAUUGCCUAAAUAUUGCUCUUGUAGAGAUUGUAAAAUGUACUCUAACCAUAAGGAUGUCUGAUUUGUCAGUGAAUUGUUCUUUUGAGUCAGUUCUUUUCAGUGAAUAAGUUGAAACAGUUCACAAAUGAUUCAUAAGCUAAUCAUAAUGAUUUAAAAAAAAAUCUGUAUCCAGAAAUCACAAAUGCCAGGAAAUGUCAUGGAAAAGUAAUGGAAAUGCGUCCGUCAAAAAGGACGGGAACCCUGAAACUGGCACAUUAUGAUCAGUUACGAGACACAAUAAUGACUUUUGGCAUCAUUAAUUUAAAACCUCAUGCAACGUGACUACCACACCUGGAGUCGCAAGUUCAAAUCCAGGGUGUGCUGAGUGACUCCAGUCAGGCUUCCUAAUCAACCAAUUGGCCCGGUUGCUAGGGUGGGUACAGUCACGUUGGAUUAACCUCCUCAGUCGCCAUAAUGUGGUUCUCACUCUCGGUGGGGCACGUGGAGAGAUGUGCGUGGAUGCCGCGGAGAAUAGCGUGAAGCCUCCACACGUGCUAGGUCUCCACGGUCACACGCUUAACAAACCAUGUGAUAAGAUGCACAGAUUGAUGGUCUCAGACGUGGAGGCAACUGAGAUUCAUCCUCCGCUACCCGGAUUAAGGCAAGUCACUACGCCACCACGAGGACUUCGAACACAUUGGGAAUUGGGCAUUCCAAAUUGGGGAGAAAAGGGGAGGGAAAAAAAACAUUCAACAUGGAGGAUAAGAGCACAGUUUCAAUCACACAGCUGCCACGUUACCUCUUGCCGUUUCAGUCAUAUAAUGUACAUUUACGUAUAUCAGUAACUAUUUGAUGCUUAUUGUACAUUUUUACACAGAGAAAAUAGCAUGCAUUUGAUCAAAAUUGCAUCAUCUUCAGCCAUUUGGCUAGUAUGUGUCAAAAUAAAAAAUAAAAAAGUUCCCCAAGAAAUAUACAUGAAUGAACCUGGCGUCCUCCAUGUUUCUGACAACAAAGCACUUGAAUGUGACGUGCUCGUAAUUAUGACUUCAGAAGUGGGAAGUAGGAUAAUUCAAAUACCACAUGAAGGCAGCAUUAGUCUCAGGACCUUUCAGAUGAUGGAAAAAAAACUGUGAUUUAUAUUUCGGAAAAUACAGUAUAGGUGGACACCUAUGAAAUUUGAGAUAUGCACUGGAGAGGAAGAUGUUCAGUGAAAAAUUAUCUCCAUUUUGGUCAGUUUCUAACACAAAGCUUGUGUGGCUUCAGAAGACUUAGAAUAUAGCACACGAGUUAUAUAGGCUACUUUUAUGGUGCUUACUUGUCAUUUUUGGUGCAUGAACAUUUCCUAAUCAGUGUCGUUGUUUGGAAAAGAGCACUUGGAACAUUCUGCUAAACAUUUCCUUUUGUGUUCCCCUGAAGAAAGAAAGUCAUACGAGUUUAGAACGACACGAGGGUGAGUAAAUGCUGAUAGAAUUUUCGUUUUUUAACAGAGUAACACUUCAACCAUCAGUACCGCCUUUUGAAAAUUCCCCUUGCGCAGUGCUUCGUGAACAUCCUGCGUUAUGUAAAUAUCUUUUCUAAACUGUAAGUAGGUUAGUUGUGGUUCAGAUUAUUUUUAUGUCACCUCUGAAGUCCCACUUCCAGCAGCUUUUGAAAGGUAUUACAUAAUAAUAGUCAGAGUGAGUUGGGGAUUUUUCCUCUUGAGGGCAAGCAAAAAUAACCACAGUUUCCUUCCCUGCCGGCUCCAGAUGCAGCCCUUGGAACUGUGGCUGUGCAACCUGAAACUCAGAUGGUUCCACAAACCACAGCUCCUGGAGAAUUGCACUCUGUCUCUCUUUCCUUUAACCUGUCUGCAAUGCCAUUAAUCGUCCAGGACUGAGCAAUGUGUCCCAGAUUGAGUGCAUCCAGGAGAGCAUAAUUGACGCUCUACGGCUCCACCUGUUGGCCAGCCAUCCUGAGAACACUUUACUCUUUGCCAGGCUGCUACAGAAACUGGCCGACC